This 412-nucleotide ribosomal RNA is filed under the name uncultured bacterium. RNAcentral describes it as "bacterial SSU rRNA". It matches the Rfam family "Bacterial small subunit ribosomal RNA", at positions 356 to 766 of the family's 1533-position model. The record is from RNAcentral.
AAGGAAUAUUGGUCAAUGGACGCAAGUCUGAACCAGCCAUGCCGAGUGAAGGAUGAAGGUCCUCUGGAUUGUAAACUUCUUUUAUCUGGGACGAAAACGGGAUUUUUAUCUCAAUUGACGGUACCAGAGGAAUAAGCCCCGGCUAACUUCGUGCCAGCAGCCGCGGUAAUACGCAGGGGGCUAGCGUUGCUCGGAAUCACUGGGCGUAAAGGGUGCGUAGGCGGGUUUCUAAGUCAGAGGUGAAAGCCUGGAGCUCAACUCCAGAACUGCCUUUGAUACUGGAAUUCUUGAGUUCGGGAGAGGUGAGUGGAACUGCGAGUGUAGAGGUGAGAUUCGUAGAUAUUCGCAAGAACACCAGUGGCGAAGGCGGCUCACUGGCCCGAUACUGACGCUGAGGCACGAAAGCGUGGGG